This 450-nucleotide ribosomal RNA is filed under the name uncultured Bacteroidota bacterium. RNAcentral describes it as "bacterial SSU rRNA". It matches the Rfam family "Bacterial small subunit ribosomal RNA", at positions 444 to 896 of the family's 1533-position model. The record is from RNAcentral. Lineage: Bacteria; Pseudomonadati; Bacteroidota.
GAAAACCCCCCUACGGUGUAGGGGGCUGAUAGUAUCGUUAGAAUAAGCAUCGGCUAACUCGUGCCAGCAGCCGCGGUAAGACGAAGGAUGCAAGCGUUAUCCGGAUUCAUUGGGUUUAAAGGGAGCGUAGGUGGACUUGUAAGUCAGUGGUGAAAUCUUUGGGCUUAACCCAGAAACUGCCAUUGAUACUGCAGGUCUAGAGUACAGUUGCCGUUGGCGGAAUAUGACAUGUAGUGGUGAAAUACUUAGAUAUGUCAUAGAACACCGAUUGCGAAGGCAGCUAACGAAGCUGUAACUGACACUGAGGCUCGAAAGUGCGGGGGAUCAAACAGGAUUAGAUACCCUGGUAGUCCGCACUGUAAACGAUGAUUACUCGUUGCUGGGAAGCAAUUUCCAGUGACCAAGCGAAAGCGAUAAGUAAUCCACCUGGGGAGUACGCCGGCAACGGUG